Molecule: ribosomal RNA, 406 nt
Filed under: uncultured bacterium
Lineage: Bacteria
Description: partial 16S ribosomal RNA
Rfam family: Bacterial small subunit ribosomal RNA
Source: RNAcentral
AUUGAACGCUGGCGGCAGGCCUAACACAUGCAAGUCGAACGAGUGGCGGACGGGUGAGUAAUGUCUGGGAAACUGCCUGAUGGAGGGGGGUAACUACUGGAAACGGUCGCUAAUCCCGCAUCACCUCAGGUGUGCCCAUAUGGGAUUAGCUAGUUGGUGGGGUAACGGCUCACCAAGGCGACGAUCCCUCGCUGGUCUGAGAGGAUGACCAGCCACACUGGAACUGAGACACGGUCCAGACUCCUACGGGAGGCAGCAGUGGGGAAUAUUGCACAAUGGGCGCAAGCCUGAUGCAGCCAUGCCGCGUGUAUGAAGAAGGCCUUCGGGUUGUAAAGUACUUUCAGCGGGGAGGCGUUACCCGCAGAAGAAGCACCGGCUAACUCCGUGCCAGCAGCCGCGGUAAUUC